Molecule: ribosomal RNA, 241 nt
Filed under: uncultured bacterium
Lineage: Bacteria
Description: partial 16S ribosomal RNA
Rfam family: Bacterial small subunit ribosomal RNA
Source: RNAcentral
UGGGUAACGUACCCCGAUGACUGGGACAACCCGGGGAAACCCGGGCUAAUACCGGAUGUGCCCCCUCACAUCAGUGAGGUGUGUAAAGGAAGCUUCGGCCUCCGCAUCGGGAUCGGCCUGCGGCCCAUUAGCUUGUUGGUGAGGUAACGGCUCACCAAGGCUGCGAUGGGUANCUGGUCUGAGAGGACGAUCAGCCACACUGGGACUGAGACACGGCCCAGACCUCCGUACGGGGAGGNAG